Molecule: long non-coding RNA, 3052 nt
Organism: Gopherus evgoodei (Goodes thornscrub tortoise)
Lineage: Eukaryota; Metazoa; Chordata; Testudines; Testudinidae
Exons: 4
Source: RefSeq, a predicted model, not a curated record
UACUCCGAGACCGAGGUUAGCGUGGUGGGGAAGUUGCAAGUUCUCUAAUGCGGUUUGAAUCGUUUGCUGGCCACCCACGUGUUAGGAUCGAACCCGUGUUCAGACUGUAGGGGGUGGAGAGCGGUGUUCCGGCGGAGGGAAUCGGGCCCUGGGGCUGUUGAAUUCAGAACAGGCUGAAAAUGGAAUUGAUUUGCUGGGAGGAAACAAUUGCUUUGGACCAGUGCCAUGUUCCAGAUAUGGGGAGCAAUGAGCUGAUGGUGAAGAGGCAGGAGACUGACUCCCCAACCCCACAAAAUGAUUGGGGCCGACGAGGACAAAUGAAGUAACUGAAUCUUGAAAAUGGGCUGAAAUGAAACAUACCGGACCUGAGCACACAGGAUAGUAGGGGUGGAGUUGGGAAGCUCGGGAGUCCAUGUUGGAACAUGAGGCAGGUGGGUGAGGAAGCAGCUAAAAUUCUCAACCACUUGAGGUUUCAGAGUCCUGGGUGGUGUUUUGUGUGUGGGAGGGGCAGCCGCAUUGCCACUUGUAGGACUAGGAGGACUCUGCUGUGAUGAACUGCAUGUUCAGUCCGUGUUUCACCUGAAUACCCUGAUUACACACAUGCCCUGAGCAGACUAAUGAAACAAACACCUGCAGCAGAGGUCUGAUUUGGAGGAAAGCUGAUGUUCUAAUGGUCUCCAAUGCAACCCCAUAAGUCCCAGGCAGUGAGGAGAACAAGUAGCAGAUCCAUGCAGACUCUUCAGAAACUUGGUUCUGGCUUUUGUGCAAAUGAAGGAGUAUACAUGCAAGGAAAAGUCUUCCGUUUAGUUGAUAGCUCUUAUUUUUUAAUUUUUUUUAUUUUUCCCCUUUCUCUCCAUUGACUUGGAAAUAUUUCCUCCCUGUAUCUAUAAGGGCAGGAACUCUAAAAACAAAAUUGGAUGGUUUCUCCUCUCCCUCCUCACCCUGGAUCCCUUAUAGGAAUCACAGAUGUAAGUACUGCUGGAAUUUCGUAUCCAUCCAGUUGCUUAGCAUGGCCUCAUAUUGGUACCCCAGGCCAAUGUCACCAUGGGGGCAGGUAUGGGACGAGAAAGAGGUACUAUGGCAGACCUAGCAGUAACAAAUGUCUGGCAUGGCAUAUACCAUGCAUUCCUCAUUCUGUGACAGUCUCUGAAUUGAUCUUCCAAACAUUGCCAGGCUGUCUUUCAUUACCUGAAGCUGCAGAUGCCUCCAGAAAGCCGUAUCUUUCUGCACAUAUGAAUAGGAACUCCUUUCUGCAGGAUUUUAGUAAGGAAACUGCUUAGUAAAGGUUUGCUCAUUAGGGAAAUUCAUGGUGUAUCUCUCUAGGGAAUCCUGUUGCUUUCAGAGCUGCUUAUUUAAGGGAGAGUGGUCGUGAUGACCGUUCCUCUUACUGCCAUGAGCCAUGGGCAGUGGGAUUUUGUGUCAUCGCAGAUUAAACUUGGCCUUUCUUCACUCAGAGUGCUCUCAGAUGGGUUUGGCCGUCCGUUGGCACUUCUGAAUUUUGCAGGGUCAGCCACUCAAAAAGGCAGAGGGGGACUGGACUUUUGGGGAAAGAAAUGGGGUUGAAAAACCAGCUGUUCUGUACAUAUUUCUCUGUAAACUUUGGGCAGUGGGCUAUGGUAACGAGAUAGUAAUUUUACAAUGUGAAUUGAAAGAUUGCCUGAGCUGAAGCGGUAGGAGCUAUGCUGGCCUCAGCUGGGAGGAGUUAGUGCAGUUAAGCUAUCUAGUUUUCCAAGAGGCAACUGUGUGCUGCAUUCUGCAUCUUUAAUACUGAGAUUGCUUAUCUUUACAGGGAUGAUUUGAGAUGGGCCUUCAAGGAAAAUGUAUCUUUCUCUCCACCGAUGUCAAUUGUAAGAGAGAAUUUGGGCCCUGAAGAUUAAAAGUUUUGGCCUGUCUCUGAUCUGUAUUACAGGGACUCCUCAAAGUUAUGUCCAGGAAAGUUUGUACUAAAAACAGGAUUAAACUAGAAUGGAUGUGUAAGAGUUGGGUAUUUUUGUAAAAAGUUCAGUAGUAGAACUGAGGGGGAAAUGGAGCUUUCUCAACUGUAAUCCACUGGUGUGAAUUCAGCCCAGGUCAAUAGUGGUUGUGGUUGAGAUUUUCACAGGAGACUUAAGGGCUUUAGAUGGCAUGCUGCUUUAGGCUCCUUUUGAAAAUCCCAGAUAUUUUUAAAGCUCUUAGUCACUGUAAUAUCUGUGGACUUGUACAAAAUUGAGGCUACGGAUAGUUAAUUUAUUGCUUGGUCUAAAAUUACUUUCCACUUUUCUGUGAAUUUACUCUCCCGUGUCCACUGUCUGUCUUCUACUACCAGCACCAUUUAGGUUAAGCUGAGAUUUUCAAAUGUGCGGAGGAUUUGGACACUCAGUUCCCAUUUAAAAAAUUAAUGGGAAUUUAACAGGCAUAUGCCAUAGAUUUGAAAAUCCUUAACCUAAAUGUAUUUAAACUACGUCUCCCUCACUCGCCUGACACCAGCACAAACCCUUAUUUCGUGCUCCCAGUGUUGUUAUCCUCUCUCAUCCCUUUUUUCUCUCCACCCCAAAUAUGUAGAUCCUUUCCCACUGAGUGGGCAGCCACCACUGCACAUCACCUAUGUAUUACCGCUCUUGUGUUGAACAGCAGUGAGAGAGAUGGAGCUGAGCACUAGGGCUGUGUGAACUGACUUCAGCAACAUGUGGUUUUGAGUUUAGACAUCCUGGGUAAUAUGGAAGUCAGGAGAAAAUCUCAAUGUCAUGAGAAGAGAUGCCAAGCUGGACCCUCAAAACCAGGGCCAUCCGAGAAAACAUGGGCCAUUUGGUCAUAAAGAGUUUUAACGAGUUUGUGGGGAUUCAGCUGACAACAAUAAAACAAGCAUUUCCCCAAAACCAUGUUUUUAAAGCAGAAUGAAUCUAAAAAUUUUGUAAUUAUCCUAUUUGCCAAUCAUGUGGAACUCCUCCUUAUGCAGAACUUGCAGUUUUAUUUUAAUGUGAUUGCCUUUUUACUGUGUGUGACAGUCUCACUCAAUUUGAUAGCGUUUCUGUGUAUUUGUCUGUACAUGUGUAAUGUGAUCACUUUUCAACAC